UUUGGUAAAAUGACUGGUCAUGGGCGGAUUUGAUGGCUGAUAUAUUUUAUACUGUUAUGCUGCAAUUUCUGCCUAUAAAAGGCCUCUUUGUUCUCGGUUUGUAAACAUAACAGAAAACAAUUCUUCUCUUCUCUUCUCUCUACAAAGUUACUUCGAGCAUUUUUCUUUAUUUUUCGGUGUUUAGUUAGCCCGGUGGUUCUGUGCAAAUCCAUUGGUACAUUGCAAUUUGAGAGGCUGUUUUAUCCUGGGGGAUAUCCGGUGGUGUACGAUCUGCUUGCACAAACUAAAGGCAGUACCGUGAAUGUUCUAAAGAAAGCGACAUAAUCCGCGACUCAGUCUUAUUCCCGGUAAUAUUGUUCUUAUUAUUUUUGUUCCUGCAACUUUCAUUUAUAACAAUACUUUAUAUUUUUCUGAUUCUUGACAAUUCCAUAUGGUACUCCGCAUGUAAGCUAAAUUUGUUUUCUUAAUAAUCAGGAGUACUAAGUAUAUGAUAUAGAGUACAUGAUAAUAUGAUAUCCCUUUUAAUUUUGGCUCAUUAUAAAUUUUACGUUUAAUUUUUGUUAAUAUCAGUCAAGUGCUAAUGUGAGAGUUGAUUUUAAAAAUGAGAAAUUAAUUAGUUAAGUUAAACGCAAGAAAAAUUAAAGAAAAUUAACAAGGAAAAAAAAAAUAAUUAGGUGGUUCACUCUCCAUGUGCUAGCUACAUUCGCGAAUAAGCGAGAGGAGAGUUUCUUACUAAUCUCAAACAUAAUACAGACUACAUAGUUGCUAGGUUAAGCCAAUAAAAUAUAUAUAUAGGAUUGAGAUUAUGUGAGAACCAAGACUUAUAAUAGAAACUAGGAACCCUUAUACACCGUUGAUUGCGUUUCAUCGCACGAUGCAGAUUUCACCCGCUUUAUUAAGGGUAUUUUCGUAAAUAUGCGUUAUGAAUGACUUCUGCUCUAGUAUUUUCGCUGCUUCCCUCCUUUCUCUCUCUUCUUAUGACUUUCUCUCUCUACCUUCUAAUUCUCUAAACGACGAUUUUGUUCUUCGAUUUCGCCAAUCUAUUUCUUUGAUUUUGCUCAUCUAUUUUGACGAUUUCUUCAAUUUCGUUUGUCAUGUUGUUGAAUUUGGUGUGAUUUGAUCAUUUCUGCAGAGGGGAGUGAAAUUAGAGUUGUGUACGGUGGUGUGUUUGAGUUGUGUGGCAAAAAAGGGUGUGGUGAUGUUUGUCGGUUUCUGUUGUUUGGGUGGGUGAAGGAGCUAGGCUGGUGAUUUGUUACAGGGUGGUUGAUGCUAGAAACAAGCGGAAAGCGAGUUUACUUUUGAGUUUUUCUAUUUUACUUUUGAAUUAAUACUCUACCCCGAGUGAAAUUUAUUAUCUGGAGGGCUUGCAAGGGGCCAUUACCUACUGUGCAGGGUCUGAGAAGGAAGGGGAUGGAAGUUGAUUCAAUGUGUAGCAUAUGUGGGACUGUAGAGGAAAGCGAGCUUCACUGUUUGAAGGAGUGCGUAAUUGAGAGACAGAUUUGGGAUACGUGUGACCUGAGUGGAGAGAUAGGUGGCUAUUUCUGAGAUUUUGGAGAUAUGGCGAGUGUGUGCUUUGAUAGGUUGCAAAGAACUGAGCAUGGUUUCUUCAUGACCGUGUGUUGGGCGAUAUGGACAGCAAGGAACAGGUGGGUCUUUGAGGAGGAGUGCGAUCCCAUUAAAUCUGUAGAGUAUGUUACUAAGCUUAUGAAGGAGCUUGAUGUGGAAAAGGGGAAGAUAAGGUGGGUGCGAGGGCCAAAGCGUAAGAAAUGGAGACAAGCUGCUGGCUGCUACAAAUUGAAUGUGGAUGGGAGGAUGUUUGGGGGGAGGGGAUUGUGUGCGGGAGCUGUAAUCAAGGGGAAUGAUGGAAGGCUCAUGUAGCUGCUUCGUGGAAGGUGAAAAACCGCUAGGAGCCUUGCAUCAGUGAAACUGUUUUUGAAGUUACUAAUGUUGUCUUUGCUCAUUUUAUUAUUGUCAACUUUAUAUAUACUAGCCUACUAGCUCAAUAGGCAGAGCAUGUGAAAAUGCACAAAUGUGUGGGUUCAAAUCCCACGUAGGUUCAUUUGUAUUUACUUUAAGAAAUAUUUUAUUUGCUUCAACUUAUUUUGUAUCUACUUUUAUUACUUAGAAACUCAAGCUCACUUAUCCAAGGAUUAAAGAUAUGAUAAGGUUUUAUAAUCUUAUACUACGUAUUUAAGCA
Molecule: long non-coding RNA, 2197 nt
Organism: Chenopodium quinoa (quinoa)
Lineage: Eukaryota; Viridiplantae; Streptophyta; Magnoliopsida; Caryophyllales; Amaranthaceae
Exons: 2
Source: RefSeq, a predicted model, not a curated record